This 729-nucleotide ribosomal RNA is filed under the name uncultured eukaryote. Its description in RNAcentral is "SSU rRNA". It matches the Rfam family "Eukaryotic small subunit ribosomal RNA", at positions 670 to 1426 of the family's 1831-position model. The record is from RNAcentral.
CGGGUGCACUGAUCCAGCCGGGCCUUUCCCUCUGUGGAACCCCAUGGCCUUCACUGGCUGUGGUGGGGAAACAGGACUUUUACUUUGAAAAAAUUAGAGUGCUCCAGGCAGGCCUAUGCUCGAAUACAUUAGCAUGGAAUAAUAGAAUAGGACGUGUGGUUCUAUUUUGUUGGUUUCUAGGACCGCCGUAAUGAUUAAUAGGGACAAUCGGGGGCAUCAGUAUUCAAUUGUCAGAGGUGAAAUUCUUGGAUCUAUUGAAGACUAACUACUGCGAAAGCAUUUGCCAAGGAUGUUUUCAUUGAUAAGGAACGAAAGUUAGGGGAUCGAAGACGAUCAGAUACCGUCGUAGUCUUAACUAUAAACUAUGCCGACUAGGGAUCGGACGAUGUUAUUCUUUGACGCGUUCGGCACCUUUCGAGAAAUCAAAGUGCUUGGGCUCCAGGGGGAGUAUGGUCGCAAGGCUGAAACUUAAAGAAAUUGACGGAAGGGCACCACCAGGGGUGGAACCUGCGGCUUAAUUUGACUCAACACGGGGAAACUCACCAGGUCCAGACACAGUGAGGAUUGACAGAUUGAGAGCUCUUUCUUGAUUCUGUGGGUGGUGGUGCAUGGCCGUUCUUAGUUGGUGGAGUGAUUUGUCUGCUUAAUUGCGAUAACGAACGAGACCUUAACCUGCUAAAUAGCCCGUACUGCUUUGGCAGUUCGCCGGCUUCUUAGAGGGACUAUCGG